Molecule: transfer RNA, 77 nt
Filed under: Sphaerochaeta pleomorpha str. Grapes
Lineage: Bacteria; Pseudomonadati; Spirochaetota; Spirochaetia; Spirochaetales; Sphaerochaetaceae
Description: tRNA-His
Rfam family: tRNA
About the family: Transfer RNA (tRNA) molecules are approximately 80 nucleotides in length. Their secondary structure includes four short double-helical elements and three loops (D, anti-codon, and T loops).
Source: RNAcentral
GUGGAAGUAGUUCAAUGGUAGAGCAUCAGGUUGUGGUCCUGACUGUUGCGGGUUCGAGCCCCGUCUUCCACCCUCCA